RNAcentral lists this ribosomal RNA (253 nucleotides) under uncultured bacterium. RNAcentral describes it as "partial 16S ribosomal RNA". It matches the Rfam family "Bacterial small subunit ribosomal RNA", at positions 524 to 776 of the family's 1533-position model. The record is from RNAcentral.
UACAGAGGGUGCAAACGUUGUUCGGAAUUACUGGGCGUAAAGCGUGUGUAGGCGGCUUGGCAAGUCGGAUGUGAAAGCCCUGGGCUCAACCCAGGAAGUGCACUCGAUACUGCCGAGCUUGAGUAUCGGAGAGGUUGGUGGAAUUCCCGGUGUAGUGGUGAAAUGCGUAGAUAUCGGGAGGAACACCAGUGGCGAAGGCGGCUUCCUGGCCUGUUCUUGACGCUGAGGCGCGAAAGCUAGGGGAGCAAACGGG